RNAcentral lists this ribosomal RNA (303 nucleotides) under uncultured bacterium. RNAcentral describes it as "bacterial SSU rRNA". It matches the Rfam family "Bacterial small subunit ribosomal RNA", at positions 28 to 334 of the family's 1533-position model. The record is from RNAcentral.
GACGAACGCUGGCGGCGUGCUUAACACAUGCAAGUCGAGCGGUAAGGCCCUUCGGGGUACGACGAGCGGCGAACGGGUGAGUAACACGUGGGUGACCUGCCUCUAGCUCUGGGAUAAGCCUGGGAAACUGGGUCUAAUACCGGAUAUGACUCCACGGCGCAUGUUGUGGGGUGGAAAGCCUUGUGUGGCUAGAGAUGGGGCCCNCGGCCUAUCAGCUUGUGGUGGGGUGAUGGCCACCAAGGCGACGACGGGUAGCCGGCCUGAGAGGGCGACCGGCCACACUGGGACUGAGACACGGCCCAG